GAUGAACGCUGGCGGCGUGCCUAAUACAUGCAAGUCGAGCGAACAGAUAAGGAGCUUGCUCCUUUGACGUUAGCGGCGGACGGGUGAGUAACACGUGGGUAACCUACCUAUAAGACUGGGAUAACUUCGGGAAACCGGAGCUAAUACCGGAUAAUAUUUCGAACCGCAUGGUUCGAUAGUGAAAGAUGGUUUUGCUAUCACUUAUAGAUGGACCCGCGCCGUAUUAGCUAGUUGGUAAGGUAACGGCUUACCAAGGCGACGAUACGUAGCCGACCUGAGGGGGUGGUCGGCCACACUGGAACUGAGACACGGUCCAGACGCCUAGGGGAGGCAGCAGUGGGGAAUCUUCGGCAAAGGGCGAAAGCCUGACGAAGCAACGCCGCGGGAGUGAUGAAGGUCUUCGGAUCGUAAAACUCUGUUAUUAGGGAAGAACAUACGUGUAAGUAACUGUGCACGUCUUGACGGUACCUAAUCAGAAAGCCACGGCUAACUACGUG
This 497-nucleotide ribosomal RNA is filed under the name uncultured bacterium. RNAcentral's name for it is "partial 16S ribosomal RNA". It matches the Rfam family "Bacterial small subunit ribosomal RNA", at positions 28 to 507 of the family's 1533-position model. The record is from RNAcentral.